AGUGAACGCUGGCGGUAGGCCUAACACAUGCAAGUCGAACGGCAGCACAGUAAGAGCUUGCUCUUACGGGUGGCGAGUGGCGGACGGGUGAGGAAUACAUCGGAAUCUACUUUUUCGUGGGGGAUAACGUAGGGAAACUUACGCUAAUACCGCAUACGACCUACGGGUGAAAGCAGGGGAUCUUCGGACCUUGCGCGAUUGAAUGAGCCGAUGUCGGAUUAGCUAGUUGGCGGGGUAAAGGCCCACCAAGGCGACGAUCCGUAGCUGGUCUGAGAGGAUGAUCGGCCACACUGGAACUGAGACACGGUCCAGACUCCUACGGGAGGCAGCAGUGGGGAAUCUUGGACAAUGGGCGGAAGCCUGAUCCAGCAAUACCGCGUGGGUGAAGAAGGCCUUCGGGUUGUAAAGCCCUUUUGUUGGGAAAGAAAAGCAGCAGGUUAAUACCCCGCUGUUCUGACGGUACCCAAAGAAUAAGCACCGGCUAACUUCGUG
This 492-nucleotide ribosomal RNA is filed under the name uncultured bacterium. RNAcentral describes it as "partial 16S ribosomal RNA". It matches the Rfam family "Bacterial small subunit ribosomal RNA", at positions 29 to 507 of the family's 1533-position model. The record is from RNAcentral.